UUUAAAUAGUUUAAUUAAAAUAAAGAUUUGUGGUAUCUUAGAUACUAUGAAGUUUUAAAUUU
RNAcentral lists this transfer RNA (62 nucleotides) under Empoasca flavescens. RNAcentral describes it as "tRNA-His". Lineage: Eukaryota; Metazoa; Arthropoda; Insecta; Hemiptera; Cicadellidae. The record is from RNAcentral.